GGCGUGGAUUAGGCAUGCAAGUCGAGCGCGAAAGCUCCCUUCGGGGAGUCAGUAGAGCGGCGAACUGGUGAGUAACAGGUGGGUAACGUGCCCCAAAGCGGGGGAUAAGCCGGGGAAACUCGGGCUAAUACCGCAUACGGCUGUCGAGACUCUGGUCUUGACGGCUAAAGACUUCGGUCACUUUGGGAUCGGCCCGCCCCCGAUUAGCUAGUUGGUGAGGUAACGGCUCACCAAGGCUGCGAUCGGUAGCUGGUCUGAGAGGAUGGUCAGCCACACUGGGACUGAGAUACGGCCCAGACUCCUACGGGGGGCAGCAGUCUAGAGGCUUCGGCAAUGGACGAAAGUCUGACCGAGCGACGCCGCGUGUGUGAUUGAAGGCCUUCGGGUCGUAAAGCACUGUCAGGAGGGAAGAAUGCCCAUAUGGUGAAUAUGGGAGAGACGGUACCUCCAGAGGAAGCCCCGGCUAACUCCGUGCCAGCAGCCGCGGUAAUACGGAGGGGGCGAGCGUUGUUCGGAUUUACUGGGCGUAAAGGGUCCGUAGGCGGCUGUGUAAGUCUGGUGUGAAAGCUUCGACGCUUAACGUGAAGUCUGCACUGGAAACUGCACAGCUUGAGUAUGGUAGAGGCAAGCGGAAUUCCUGGUGUAGCGGUGGAAUGUGUAGAUAUCAGGAAGAACACCGGUGGCGAAGGCGGCUUGCUGGGCCACUACUGACGCUGAGGGACGAAAGCGUGGGGAGCGAACGGGAUUAGAUACCCCGGUAGUCCACGCCGUAAACGGUGCACACUAGGUGUAGCGGGUAUCGACCCCUGCUGUGCCGACGUCAACACAUUAAGUGUGCCGCCUGGGGAGUACGACCGCAAGGUUGAAACUCAAAGGAAUUGACGGAGGCCCGCACAAGCGGUGGAGCAUGUGGCUUAAUUCGAUGCAACGCGAAGAACCUUACCUGGGUUUGACAUGCCCGUCGUAUCCUCCUGAAAGGGAGGAGUCAGCUCGGCUGGACGGUGCACAGGUGCUGCAUGGCUGUCGUCAGCCCGUGCCGUGAGGUGUUGGGUUAAGUCCCGCAACGAGCGCAGCCCUUAUGUUUAGUUGCCACUCCCUUCGGGGAAGCACUCUAGACAGACUGCCCGUGACAAGCGGGAGGAAGGAGGGGAUGACGUCAAGUCAGUAUGGUCCUUAUACCCAGGGCUGCACACGUGCUACAAUGGCCGGUACAGAGGGCCGCGACGCCGCGAGGCGAAGCAAAUCCCCAAAACCGGUCUUAGUUCGGAUCGUAGUCUGCAAUUCGACUACGUGAAGUUGGAAUCGCUAGUAAAUGCGUAUCAGCAAUGGCGCACCGAAUACGUUCCCGGGCAUUGUACACACCGCCCGUCACAUCAUGAA
RNAcentral lists this ribosomal RNA (1380 nucleotides) under uncultured organism. RNAcentral describes it as "bacterial SSU rRNA". It matches the Rfam family "Bacterial small subunit ribosomal RNA", at positions 41 to 1408 of the family's 1533-position model. The record is from RNAcentral.